AAAGGUACUCAAGGGCGCUAAAUGGAUGCCUAGACGUAUAUUACCGAUGAAGGACGUGGAAGACUGCGAUAAGCUUCGGGAAGCUGUCAACAAGCUUUGAUCCGGAGAUCUCCGAAUGGGGAAACCCAGCAUGAGUCAUGUCAUGUUGCCACUUGCUGAACACAUAGGCAAGCGAGCGGGAACCAUCUGAACUGAAACAUCUUAGUAGGAUGAGGAAGAGAAAGUAAAUAACGAUUGCGAAAGUAGUGGCGAGCGAAAUCGCAACAGCCCAAACCUUUUAAGUUUUUGCCUAUUAAUUUAGGCAAAUAAGUUGAUAGACGAAUACUUAUAAGGGGUUGUGAUAUUACAUAUGACCAAGUCAGAGAAUUUGAUUCAUUCAAAUAAUCUGAUUUGCGAUAACUGGCUAUCAACAGUUAGUAAGGUAAGAAAUCGGCGUGGUUAGUAGAAUAGUUUGAAUGACUAGCCAAAGAACGUGAAAGCCGUGUAUAUGAAAACGACGCUGACCUUAUGUAUGUUUUAUCGAGUAGGACGGGGCACGAGAAACCCUGUUUGAAUCUGGCUGGACCACCAGCCAAGGCUAAAUAUAAUAUACGAUCGAUAGUGAACUAGUACAGUGAUGGAAAGGUGAAAAGAACCCCGGGAGGGGAGUGAAAUAGAUCCUGAAAUUUAGUGCCUACAAGGAGUCGGAGCCGGCUUGUCCGGUGACGGCGUGCUUUUUGUAGAACGAUCCAGCGAGUUAAUUUUUACAGCGAGGUUAAGUCAAUUGACGGAGCCACAGUGAAAGCGAGCCUGAAUAGGGCGAUUAAGUUGUAAGGAUUAGACCCGAAACCGGGUGACCUAACCAUGAGCAGGUUGAAGCCACUGUAACAGGUGGUGGAGGACCGAACCAGGAUACGCAGCAAAGUGUUUGGAUGACUUGUGGUUAGCGGUGAAAUGCCAAUCGAACUCGGAGAUAGCUGGUUC
This 963-nucleotide ribosomal RNA is filed under the name Nanosynbacter sp. Its description in RNAcentral is "Candidatus Nanosynbacter sp. partial 23S ribosomal RNA". It matches the Rfam family "Bacterial large subunit ribosomal RNA", at positions 1 to 855 of the family's 2925-position model. The record is from RNAcentral. Lineage: Bacteria; Bacillati; Minisyncoccota; Nanosynbacteria; Nanosynbacterales; Nanosynbacteraceae.